AGAGUUUGAUCCUGGCUCAGAACGAACGCUGGCGGCGCGUUUUAAGCAUGCAAGUCGAACGGUAUACAUAGCUUGCUAUGUAGAGAGUGGCGAACGGGUGAGUAACACGUAGGUAAUCUGCCUCUGGAUGGGGGAUAGACCACGGAAACGUGGCGUAAUACCGCAUGAGCUCUAUACUUAUAACGAGUGUAGAGGAAAGAUGCAAUUGUAUCGUCUGGAGAUGAGCCUGCGGUCCAUUAGCUUGUUGGCAGGGUAAUGGCCUACCAAGGCGACGAUGGAUAGCCGGCCUGAGAGGGUGAACGGCCACACUGGGACUGAGACACGGCCCAGACUCCUACGGGAGGCAGCAGCUAAGAAUCUUCCGCAAUGGGCGAAAGCCUGACGGAGCGACGCCGCGUGGACGAUGAAGGCCGAAAGGUUGUAAAGUCCUUUUCUUAGGGAAGAAUAAGGCGAAGAAUGGAAUGCUUCGCUGAUGACAUUAACUGAGGAAUAAGCCCCGGCCAAUUACGUGCCAGCAGCCGCGGUAAUACGUAUGGGGCGAGCGUUGUUCGGAAUUAUUGGGCGUAAAGGGCGUGUAGGCGGUUUUAUAAGCCUGGUGUGAAAUCCCACAGCUCAACUGUGGAUCCGCGCUGGGAACUGUAAGACUAGAGUUUAGGAGGGGAAGCUGGAAUUCCUGGUGUAGGGGUGAAAUCUGUAGAUAUCAGGAAGAACACCGAUGGCGAAGGCAAGCUUCUAGCCAUAGACUGACGCUGAGGCGCGAAAGCGUGGGGAGCGAACAGGAUUAGAUACCCUGGUAGUCCACGCUGUAAACGAUGUGCACUGGGUGUAGGAGACGUUGAGUUUUCUGUGCCGUAGCUAACGCGAUAAGUGCACCGCCUGGGGAGUAUGCUCGCAAGGGUGAAACUCAAAGGAAUUGACGGGGGCCCGCACAAGCGGUGGAGCAUGUGGUUUAAUUCGAUACGCGAGGAACCUUACCAGGGCUUGACAUGUACUUGAAGGCUUAAGAGAUUAAGUCGACCUUUAGGGGACAGGUACACAGGUGCUGCAUGGCUGUCGUCAGCUCGUGUCGUGAGAUGUUGGGUUAAGUCCCGCAACGAGCGCAACCCUUACUGUCUGUUACCAGCAGGUCUUCGGACGCUGGGGACUCAGGCAGAACUGCCGGUGACAAACCGGAGGAAGGUGGGGAUGACGUCAAGUCAUCAUGGCCCUUAUGUCCUGGGCUACACACGUGCUACAAUGGUCGGUACAAAGCGUUGCGAGACGGUGACGUCCUUAGCAAAUCGCAAAAAGCCGAUCUCAGUUCGGAUUGGAGUCUGAAACCCGACUCCAUGAAGUUGGAAUCGCUAGUAAUCGCGCAUCAGAAUGGCGCGGUGAAUAUGUUCCCGGGCCUUGUACACACCGCCCGUCACACCACCCGAGUUGGGGGUACCCGAAGUCGCUAGUCUAACUUUUCGGAGAGGACGGCGCCGAAGGUAUGUCCGGUAAGGGGGGUGAAGUCGUAACAAGGUA
RNAcentral lists this ribosomal RNA (1509 nucleotides) under metagenome. RNAcentral's name for it is "bacterial SSU rRNA". It matches the Rfam family "Bacterial small subunit ribosomal RNA". The record is from RNAcentral.